This 255-nucleotide ribosomal RNA is filed under the name uncultured bacterium. Its description in RNAcentral is "partial 16S ribosomal RNA". It matches the Rfam family "Bacterial small subunit ribosomal RNA", at positions 524 to 776 of the family's 1533-position model. The record is from RNAcentral.
GACGGAGGAUGCAAGUGUUAUCCGGAAUCACUGGGCGUAAAGCGUCUGUAGGUGGUUCGAAAAGUCCACUGUUAAAGAUUGAGGCUUAACUUCAAAAAUGCCGUGGAAACUUUCAAACUAGAGUAUGGUAGGGGUAGAGGGAAUUUCCAGUGGAGCGGUGAAAUGCGUAGAUAUUGGAAAAGACCACCGAUGGCGAAGGCAACUCUACUGGGCCAUUACUGACACUGAGAGACGAAAGCUAGGGGAGCAAAUGGG